RNAcentral lists this unclassified non-coding RNA (258 nucleotides) under uncultured fungus. RNAcentral's name for it is "partial contains 5.8S rRNA and ITS2". Lineage: Eukaryota; Fungi. The record is from RNAcentral.
AACGCACAUUGCAGCCGCCGGCAUUCCGGCGGCUAUGCCUGUCCGAGCGCUACUAACACCCCUCAGGCCCCCGUGCCUGGCGUUGGGGGGCCGCUGAUCUUGGGCGGCCCUCUCAAAGUUAGUGGCGGCAGCGCCCGCGGCGCGACGCGCAAAGUAGCACUACUGGCGCGACGUCCCCGGCGCUGACCAGCCGAGAGAACCUCACUACCACACAAAGUAGUUGGCCUCGGAUCAGGUAGGAUUACCCGCUGAACUUAA